RNAcentral lists this long non-coding RNA (241 nucleotides) under Linum usitatissimum (flax). Its description in RNAcentral is "long non-coding RNA (LUSI_LNC003021)". The record is from RNAcentral. Lineage: Eukaryota; Viridiplantae; Streptophyta; Magnoliopsida; Malpighiales; Linaceae.
GAUCACAGAGUACUCACUACUCAAUAGUUUCCACUCUCACCGCACAAAACGCCACACUGUGCUGUUUAAAAAAUAAAGUAAAGCUCCUCCUCCUCCUUCUCAAAACCAACCCCAAAAGCUACUCAUCCUCCUCCCAAAGAUACUUCCCUUCCAUUACUCCUCUUGCAUGGCGAUCAACACCGCCGCCAAGGCCAAAUCGCACAAUGUCGGCAGCGACGGCGACAACAGCAACUCCUCCUCC